AGAGUUUGAUCCUGGCUCAGAACGAACGCUGGCGGCAUGCCUAACACAUGCAAGUCGAACGAGACCUUCGGGUCUAGUGGCGCACGGGUGCGUAACGCGUGGGAAUCUGCCCUUGGGUUCGGAAUAACAGUUAGAAAUGACUGCUAAUACCGAAUGAUGUCUUCGGACCAAAGAUUUAUCGCCCAAGGAUGAGCCCGCGUCGGAUUAGCUAGUUGGUGAGGUAAAAGGCUCACCAAGGCGACGAUCCGUAGCUGGUCUGAGAGGAUGAUCAGCCACACUGGGACUGAGACACGGCCCAGACUCCUACGGGAGGCAGCAGUGGGGAAUAUUGGACAAUGGGCGAAAGCCUGAUCCAGCAAUGCCGCGUGAGUGAUGAAGGCCUUAGGGUUGUAAAGCUCUUUUACCCGGGAUGACAAUGACAGUACCGGGAGAAUAAGCCCCGGCUAACUCCGUG
Molecule: ribosomal RNA, 454 nt
Filed under: uncultured bacterium
Lineage: Bacteria
Description: bacterial SSU rRNA
Rfam family: Bacterial small subunit ribosomal RNA
Source: RNAcentral